UUUUAAGCGUCUCUCAAGUUGAGUUUUCCCGGCGUCCUCCCCGAACCCAAACGUGUUAUCCUAGUAUGGUGGCUUACGCCUGUAAUCCUAGCACUUGGGAGGCCAAGGCAGGAGGUGUGUGAGGCGUGUGAGGUGUGUGCUAGGCUCCUAUCAAGCACCGGGGCAGCAGGGACACUGCCUCAAAAAAACAAAACAAGCGACGGUGAGGGUCUCCGGGACACGCAGCUUGGUGCUCCCGCCUGCAUGGCGGCGCACGGGCGGCCGGAGAAGCUGUGUCUUUGUUCGCGAGCGCCCAGACCAGGCUGGCCUCAAACGAGAGAGAGACAGGGAGAGAGAUCUGCCGCGCAGCUGGAAAAUCAUCAUCAGUGUUGCGAUCACCGUCCUCUCAGCAUGAAGUAGUGUGACUUGAGUCUAUAAACAAAGAAGAGGGGAGGGCAGAGCCACCCGGCAGGCAGCAAACAGAAAGAAAAAAGAAAAAUGACUAAGAGGUCCUGGGAUGUAGGACAGUCCUGGGAUGCGGCACAUGUCUGCACAAGGCCCUGGGCUCAAUCUCCAGCACGCUUCCCGCAAGCUGAGAUACAUUCAAAAUAUUGUAUUUGAAAUUUGUUCCGUAGGAGCAGAGUCCAGGCUGAUCUAGAACUGACUCUGUAGCCCAGCCUGGCUUUGAACUCAUGGAAACCACCACUUUGUCCCCUGUCCUACCUCCUCCGUGUGGAGAUUACUGGAGUGAACCUACAAAUAUCUCAGCCUCAACUUUGGAAGACUCUGCCAUCUCUGAAUACUUCUACCCUGGGACCAAGUCUCCAAUACAGGAGUCUUUCAGGGAACUCAUUUAAAUGACAUCCAAACCAAAGCAAUAAAGGUAAACUAGAGUCCUUACAGCAAAGAAA
This is a long non-coding RNA of Meriones unguiculatus (Mongolian gerbil), 890 nucleotides long. RefSeq lists it as uncharacterized. NCBI's taxonomy places the organism in Eukaryota, Metazoa, Chordata, Mammalia, Rodentia, Muridae. The transcript is spliced from 6 exons. The record is from RefSeq and is a predicted model, not a curated record.